UGGGCUUCUCAGUUUUGUGGUCAGGACUUAUAUGGUUAUGUUUCCUAUAUAUACCAGUUGAUCUUCCCUCUAAUCUUUCAACUCAGUGGCCAACUUCUAUCAAAAGUCACAAGGGCUAACAGUCAGAUAUUACAUGAAGGCUGCAAGAACUAUGAGGCUAUUGAGAGAGAGAGAGAGAGAGAGAGAGAGAGAGACUUUACAAAGGUAUUCACUGAUAAGAAAGCUAAUAAGCUUUCUAUUUUCUAGCCACCAGAGAAUUCAAAUGGUGCAGACUAAGAGGGAAAUAUAGAAUUACUUGUUUUCACUUGCAAAUCAUGUAAAGAACGAGACAAUUUAAGGCCCCACAAGUCUGCAAGGGGUGGCUGGCAGACAUUUGGCAACAUGGAAAAGGGCUUCUAAUGCAUUCAGCUGGGCUAUGCAGUUUCAACAGUGGAAUAAAGUCCUACAAGACCAAGAUCUGGUUUCAACCAGGAGUGUGAAGAUGGCUUUAUUGGCAAUUUCUGAACAGACUUUUUACUGUGUACAAUGCUGCUAGCAGUGGUGAUCCAGUUGGAGACAUAUAGGAGGCAUAACUUCUUGAACUGGUUAAAUGAAAAUGGGAUUUAUCUACAAACAUUUUUGUCCUGAUGGCAUCUCCAUGAUUGAAGAGGAAUAGCAGUUACCUGUGCAUUUUCCUUCUUACAUGCCAGAUACUCCGAAAAAGACAGAUGAAUUUCUGCAGCAAAUAUGUGUUGUUCGCACUCUGUCUCCUCAACUGAUCUGAGUUUCAUUUCAGUCAAGACAAUUACAUCAUCUCCUUUGAGCCAAGUAUUCCUGGAGUGGUAAGGUGGGAAGUACAGUCAUUAAUGGGAUUAAACCCUAUCCUGCAGAAAGCAAGAAAAAAAAAGAACACUGUUCUGGUUUAAAGCAGCGAUGGUAUGGGGAAUCACUAAGCUGCAGGGAGAUACGUUCUGAGCUGUAUGUAUUUGCCUCUGCAGCUCAAGAGAUGCAUAGCUGUACAGUGGACUGGUUAAUGCUUCUGAACAGCUUUCUGGACAUUUCAAAAGAUAGAACAUUCCCAUCUUCUGUUUUCGAAAUAGAUACAGGGAUAGAUUCCACAGCCACAAGAAGCAGGUUGGAUUAAGACAAAAAGUAUGUAACAUGGCUUCAUGGGUGUUUAAACACUUACCAGAAUUAAGUAUUACCUGGGUGCUGAUAUUCUUGAUACUUUCUUAUAUAUAAUCUCUCCUUAGCAACUGAUGGAAGAGGAAAGUCGUGAUUUCCUUGAAGUGCUGUACCAUCUGUCAGCUCUACUCAUCUUUUCUUCAAACUUAUUUUGAGGUAGCUUCAUAUCUCCUUCUGACGUUCUCUUUUCCCAGGCUUGGUUAUAGUUGGAUGAUUGUUAUGUUCAGUUACAGAUUAUGAGAUAAUCUAUAUUUCACUUUAGAAAUAUGAGGUAUCUCACCAAGUGACACCCCACUGACACAAAUGUUGAUAACCAGUUUUCCACAAGGGGAUGUGAAACAAGAAGAUAACCAAUAUGAUUCUCUCAGAUAUUUCUGCAGGGAGUGCAGAUAUAGCAUGACCCCAUUGAUCCCAGAUAGCUUCUGUAGAAAAGCAGCCAGAUCUGAAGUUCAUUUGUGUUGAGAACUGAUGAUAAACCUUUCAGACUUUUACCACAGACGAGAGGAUCAUAUUCCACGAUGGCCAUAAACCAUGCUAAGAAAGUCUUUCCAACAGAGCAUUAAGGCAGAGGAGGUUAAAGUGACAAAAAAAGGCACAUCCUCAUACAAUCAGGAUGCUAAAUCCAGCUGAGCAAAGCAAGCAGAGUGCAGAUGCAAGACAGAAAUAAAAUAUGCAGCAAACUCAGAAGUGAAAGAAUAAAGAAGCCAGUAUGGCAGACAGUGAGAAACUAAGCAAACACACUGAAAACACAGCCCACGAGAGAAGCAAACACACGCCACGUAUAAUGAGGAAGGAAAAGUCAGGCUCAGGCCAUCCCCACUCAUUGGCAGCACAUGAAGAGAGUCAGCAAAUGCGAGCUGUAUGGGUUUCUCUGAAAACAAAGGCCUGAUUUUCAGAAAUGGAAUUUUCUUCUUCCCAUGAAGCAGCAGAUCGCUUUGUAAAAUUCAGGCCCUCCAAAAAGUCAGUGUGAAUAGCAGAAUGUGGUUUAGGGUUUUGUCUUCUGGGGAAAUGUUUAUCCACACUAACUGGGGGUAAUUGGAAAGGAAUCAUUAUAAAUUAUCUGUGCAACUUUGAAAUUUAUCUCUUGCAUUGUGUGGUGUUCUGGCAGUAAAGCAAAAGUAAGUUAAGGCUGGCGGUUCAGGAAAAAAGCUGGAACAGGAAACAUCAGGAAAAGUGAAGGCAGUGAGUAGCUACUCACAGUAUAAUUUUACAAUAUGUGGAUGUUACACCUGGAGCAAGAUGUGCACAUGUACUCCUGUGUGUGUAUACACACACACACACACCUUUGCCAUGCAGACACUGAGGCAAGAGGCAGAUAGGCUGAAGCACAAAACUGUUUAAGUGCUCUGAGCCCGUCUUCACACAUGUUAGACCUCUGUCCCAAGCCCACCCACACUGAGCCCUUUUUAUUCAUUUUGCUAGUCUUGAAAAAUGUGACGAAGAGCCCUGGCAUGUAGGAAACAGCUAGUGGUUUGCUAAAGCUCUUAUGGGCUGGUCUGCUUUUUUUAAUCCUUUGUUAAAUGUGAUUGCAGCUCAGAAUUCAUCUUUUUUAUGUUUUGCAAAUUGAAUUAAAAAUAAAUAAAUAGCUAAAAGGAGCUUGCUGGAAAAUUUAUUUUAUCUGUGUGUUGUUAUAAUUCAGCUAGCAAACACCAAGUUUUUCAGAGGAGAACAUCCAGAGCUCAUGGUUUAAAAGAUCAAAAAGCAGAAACAAAGAAGCAAGGAGCUACAUCCUUUGCCACCAGCCCAGAAUCCAUUACUAAGAUUUUUAUUACCAAGUCAUACAAAGGCAGCAGUGACAAAUUAUGAGCUCAGGAAGAUCUCAUAUAUCACAUAGAUGGAACUAACAAAAUUUUAAAAUAUAUGUCACUUUAAAGGGUAAUGAAUAAAGAUAAAUGUGUCUUGUUCCAUACUCCAGAAAUGACCAGCUAUUCGGAAUGGGGAACAGAAUAAACCUAUAGUUUCACAUCACUUUCAAUUCUUCUACCGUAAUUUUCACAGCCAGAAUAACUUAAUGGGAAAGUGACACAGGUCACCCAUGCAAUAAAAAGCUGAAUGUCAGAUGGUGAGAAAAAAUCCCCGUGGUUUUAACACUAUCAAGAGUAUCAAAGGCUUGGCUUUCCUGAAGCCGGGGCUAUCUACAGGCAGCUCUCAUAGCAUUUGCACUGGGGGAACUGCUGGAGCAAACCAGGCAAAGCGAAAUGAAGCUCAAGUAAAGACCUGUUUCUGAAAGGUGGAAAGGUCUAAGCACAACAGACGCCUCAGCUUGACAAGGUAAAUUCUAUAAGGACUCAGACAGAAAGGGGCAAUUACUGCCUUAAGCUUGAGCUCUAAUCUUAAAUUAUAGGAUAGUUUCCUAAUGAGGGGGAACAUUGCUGGAGACAGCUGUGGUGGAUGGAAGGGAGCACUGCUGUAAUUACAGAUCCUUACACAUCAGUGACAGAAGUUCCCAAACUCUAAGGGGAAACACCUUCAUCAUAUUUGUUUUUGCAGAAUCAAAUAUCAUUCUCAGUUUGCAGUGAAAUGGAAACAUCAAGUACAGGAGCCCUAAAACUGGAUUUUAGCACUACAUGAUGCAUGUCAGGAGCUGGACUGCGUUGGCAGAGCCUUCGGUGAUGACUCCUCUCCUCUGAUGGCUGCAGACUGUAACGUUUCACUGCAAGCACAGCUGGCUGUUUGGGGUGGCUGACACGCAGAGCUGCACCUGCUAGAAUAGAUGCAAAGAAAAGAGAUGUGUUCUGAGGGAUACAAAGGCAUUGUCUGACCCGUGAUGGAUUGCAUGGGCAAGAGUUUCUUAAGACCAUCCUGUGUGACCUCCUGCAUUGAUCAUCUGCUGGCUCCUGGUUGGGUGACAAAGCCUUUCAAGAUGCUACCAAACCUAUAGAAAUUACUCUGAUCUGAUGGAGGCUGGGAGAAGCAGCUGUACUGCAGAGAUGCCAACCAUCAGCAAAAUACAGCAAUUGUUUUAUGAGUUUAAUGCUAUUUAUCUUCUAAUUUAUUUACCAGAGAUGCAUGUAAUGCUGAAUGAAAGCCAGUUUGCUGAGGAGAAAAGGUCUUGAAAAAACCCUUCCAUUUUGUACCCUUCCUAAUGUAUUUUUCUUAUUAAAUAGAAUUUUUGUUUGUUUGUUUUAGAAUAUUUAGGCUUCAUUAAAAAAAAAAAAAAAAGAAACAAGCAAGUGAGGGUGGAGAGCUCAGGCUGUGAGGAGAUGGGAUCAGGCAAAGGAAAGCAGGCCAGCCAGGUCUCAUCUUGUUUCUAAUUACUUGCCCUACCAGGGACAGAGCCCCCCGUUUGCCCUGGAAGCAUAUGGUUCCUGCUCCAAAGGUUCAUAUGCCAAGGGGUGAAUGGUCACUUUGUGUAACUGUGUCUGAAGGAGUUCAAUCUGAUCUCCAGACAAAUGUGAGAAAGCUGCUGGCUUGGUAUUUGCUAUACACUUGGUAUUUGCUAUAUACUGCAAUCUCCUGUGUUUGCUACAGGUAUUUGUAAUGGCUGGGACCUCAUGGUGAGCACUGCCAGCUUCUGUACCAAGUGGAAUUAAUUGCAGGAUAGAGGCCCACUGAGGAACAGAUAAGAGGGAUCUAGAAAAAUGACGGAGGCCAGCUUGCAUUAGAUAAAUGGUGGUGAGAAAGCCCGCAUUAAUAACAGUAAUGUAGCUGUGUUUCCUGAAAAGAGAGCAAGAAAUGUCCCUAGUGUGAACAUACUUCUUGUUGGCCAAAACACAUUCUGAAUUCCUCAAUAAUCAGGCAGGAAGUGGUAAAAUCCAUCAGACAAAAUAAACAAUAUGUUAUUUUUUCCAACACUAAAAAUAUAUUUUUGGGUCAUAACUAUUACAGAAAAAACAUUUUAUGGACAAUCAGAUUUAUUUUUUCUGCCAUACUAAAGUUUUCAGUGAUGUACAGCAAGUGGAAUUUCUAUACACAAGGAGCUUUGUUUCCAAGCAGAUCAGUACUUUACCUAAUAGGUGCAUUAUUCAAAAGUACUCACUGCUCUUUCAAAAACUUGCUCAAAUAGAAAUUAUGUUUUAGUAGCUUCCCAGUCAAGUAACCAGAGAGAAAAGCGGAAUUAUAAUAGCCAUGAGUUUUUUGCUUUGUGUAAACAAAGCUGAAGUUAGGUAAUUUCUGAUUUGUUUUUGUCACUUUGUGUGAUUUUGUCUAGUUUGCACCAUAAGUGAAGUCAGUGUUAACUCUGUACCACAACAGGUCUACAGUCUUCUAUCUACCUUGCCUUGGCUGGUUGUUCUGAGAGCCUCCUACCAAGAUUUCCUGUUGCCUCCAUUUUAGAGCGGUUCUGUCUUUUCUCUGAUGAGUGGAAGUUAGUAAGACCCAGCAGAUGCUGCUGCCUGAGUAACACUGUGAUUCCUUCCAGCUUCUUUGCUUGUACAUCAAGAGGAAAGAGGAUGCUAACUUUAUAACUUCUCCCCAUUGUGCUCCAGAGGUUAGGCACCUUGCCAUAUACAGAUGUUAUCAAAAAUGGAAUCAUUUUAUAAAUAAACUGUGAAUUAACAAAGGUCUACAUAAAUGUAUGCUUUGGUUCAAGACCGAUGUAUUCCAUUCUUGGAGAACAUUCUCUAAAUAAACUGAACAUUUUCAUUUUAUA
This is a long non-coding RNA of Parus major (Great Tit), 5755 nucleotides long. RefSeq lists it as uncharacterized. The transcript has 5 exons. NCBI's taxonomy places the organism in Eukaryota, Metazoa, Chordata, Aves, Passeriformes, Paridae. The record is from RefSeq and is a predicted model, not a curated record.